CUGUAGCUCUUUGCUUCUCUUGGAGAGCUUGGCUCUUUGGACUCAGUAGCUAAAAAACUUCCUGCAUUUGAAGUUCAUCUGUAUGAUUUCCUCUGGGUGAAGCAACACAGCGUAGGACCUUCCAGGAGCAAAUUGGAGACAAGGCCUGGAAGUUGGUCAGGGAUUUGGCACUGGCAGGUGUAAAGCUGACAAGUUUGACAAGGUAAGGCCUGCCAAUGUAUGGCAGGAUGAGGGGGUGUGUGCCUAGAUGGUUCAAGAAGGUGUUUUUCUUGUAGUGUUUGGUUGUUUUUCUGUGGUAUUUUAUUUAUUUAGCAAAAUUCAAAUGAUGGUAUGGUCUGUCAUAAUCUUUGGGGAUGGGGGGCAUUGAAUGUAGGGUAAUUAAGUUGCCUCUGUUAUUCUGACAGUGCUUUAAACAAUUUACAAAGCAUAUUUAAAGCAACAAAAUUAUAAUUUCAUCAGUGUUAGAAGGCUGAAGCCUGUCAGUCCCAGGUGAAUUCAGGCCCAGUGCUCACAGUGUGGGCACUGGUGACAUGUUCCAAGCACGGCAGGAAGUUACUGAGAAGCUCUGAAGGCUUAGUGGCACUUCUGUAUCUGAAGUUUCUACAGUGUAAUUCAGUAACCACUGAAACACCCUCGGAUGCCUUCAGGCUGAGCUUUACAGUAACACUUAGUCCUGACAAGAGGAACACUGGUGUUGGUGCAAUUUCAGUGUUUUCCUUAUUCCCACUGCUAAACCCAACAAGACAGGCCACACUGAAACAGGAUUCCAUUUGUGUUCUUGUUAACUGCUUGUAAAAUAUAAAGCGAUUACCCCGGCAGAUGAAGCACCCGUGCUUUCAGGAACAGCAAAUGCCUGCAGAGCGAGGCCGGGACAGCUGCCAUGAGCAACAGCAGCCUCCUCCAGAGUACCCUGGGACUGCCCUGCUCUCCUGGCAGCUGAGUUUUGUUUUGUGGGACUGCACUGCUCUCCUGGCAGCUGAGUUUUGUUUUGUGGGACUGCACUGCUCUCCUGGCAGCUGAACUGUUUGCUGCUUGGAGCCAACACGUGCGUUCCCAGACUUGCUACAAGGUUCUGCCAGUUCUCCAGUGGGAAGCUAAGGCACAGUCCCCCUUUUGUUCAACAUGGACAUCACCAUGUUGUGAUUGGAAACUCAAGAGCUGGAGCCAGUCUUUCCAGGGUUGAACUGCCUCUUGUUCAAGUCAAACCUUUCUCAAAUGCUUCAGCUGUAAAUGGUCUUUUAGCAAAUACAACUACAAGUGCAUUUUUACAGGAAGAUAGUGAAUUACCAGAAGUCAUUUGGGUUUGAGUGGUUGUUUCUUGCUCUCAGUUUCUUGAACUUUACAGUGUUCUCAGGGCAAGCAGCAGAGGGGCCUUAGCAAUGGCACUGUUGUCUGGACAUGGAGGCUGCAGCAGGAGGACAUGGUGGGGAAGGAGAGCUCAUGACCACUACACUAACAGCAACUCACCUGAGCAGGUCAGUGAGAGGUAUCCACAAUCCAGAAACAAACAAUACAGGACAAGUCUGAUAUCACAAGUUUAGAGGUUGUUUCCAGCCCUCACUCCUGCUCUCUUCCCUUCUCCUGUGCUCAUGCCUUUUUGCUUUUUUUAUGUCACUUUUAUGAUUUAGUCUUCUUCUUACUCGCACACUUGUCAUUAUCCAUUGUUGCUAUUGCACUUUUCUUCACAAGCUUUUUUCUUGCUUGCACUUUUUUUUCCUUUCUUGCUCAUGCUUUGUUAUUUGGUUUAUGAUUUAUUUUUUUUUUAAAUUUCACCCCUUGUUUGUGCUUUUCCUUUGCUUUUUUCUUUGCACUUGUUCUACCUUCCUUUUCUCUUCCUACUGUCUUUUACUACAGGUACAGACUUCAUUCUAGAAAACCUUCUCAGAUUUAUGCCAGGUCAGUUAUUAAUCAUUUACAGGCCUCAGGUAAUGACCAAAACCACUAGCAAACAAUUGUCACAGCUUUGACAGAAGAACAAAUACAAGCAAAAUCUGGCAUUUCCCCAACUGGAAACAAUGACUGCAAAAAUUCAGUGGAAACUUGAAGGAAAGAAAGGAAUAUCACUGUCCAGAUAUAAUACUGUAUCCAGAGAUGCUGUGGUGCAGUAUUGGCUUCAAGUUAUCCAGGAACCCACUGCAUUUGCAGAAUGGAUAUGUGCACAAACAGGAAACCUGCCCCUCUCCAGGAGGUGCUUUUCUUCAUAUUUCCUGGGGAGGCUGGUCCUAGGGCUACUGGGAAAAGCAAGGAAUUCCUUAUAAAUGUAAGAUCACAGGGUGGAAAACAACCCAUUAUUUAUAAAGCUGGCAGCCAGCAGCAUUCAGUGGUGGGAGGUUCUAGGGGUGGGGGUCUGGUGACUUCUGACGCUGCACACAUGAAAACAAAGCUUGUGGCUGAUAGAUUUGUUUUUAUUAUCAUAGAACAGAUGAACUAAAAUAAGCCAACAAUAUAAUUUUAUGCCAACAGCCAUCUUUCUAGCACAGGCGGUGACUGACUCAGUAUACCCUUCUCCCCCUUCCCCGGGCCUCUGUUCAAGGGAAAGCAAACGGUGGUGACUCUUGCACAUGGUUCUGGACUGCAGUGAUCCUACUCCUGUUACCUGUGCAGGUGUGCCUGGGAAAAGAAGAGGCAGGGGAGCAGAGAAAAGAGUAUAUAUGUUGUAGGAGCAAUAAGCAGAAAGGUUUGUGGAUCCUCUUGCACGUUCACACCUUGUGACCGAGUAGAUGGGACAACUGGAGAAUCUUGCCCACUUUCAACACGUAGCAAGCCCCGAGUUGCUACUCUAGUCAAGCCAGGAGUUUCUUCCCAUUCCAAGCUAACAAAGGUCAAGAUGCACUCAGUAGGGGAGCUUUUGGCAGGGUAAGGGGCAGUCUAUGUAAAACCAAACCAAAAAACCACC
Passer domesticus (house sparrow) is the source of this 2896-nucleotide long non-coding RNA. RefSeq lists it as uncharacterized. The record is from RefSeq and is a predicted model, not a curated record. The transcript has 2 exons. NCBI's taxonomy places the organism in Eukaryota, Metazoa, Chordata, Aves, Passeriformes, Passeridae.